Long non-coding RNA from Mytilus californianus (California mussel), 2240 nucleotides. RefSeq lists it as uncharacterized. The record is from RefSeq and is a predicted model, not a curated record. The transcript is spliced from 7 exons. NCBI's taxonomy places the organism in Eukaryota, Metazoa, Mollusca, Bivalvia, Mytilida, Mytilidae.
AGAUGUACAGAUCUCAUCCAAGGAACGAGUAUCCAAAUCUUAAACGCCACGUGUCCCCGAUCGCCAUCUUGUAGUAACGUUACCAUAGCAAUAUGUACUGGUGGGUGUGAUAAUGCAAACAGCACCUGCUUUUCAUCUAAAUUCGAACCAAACAUUGGCUAUAAACAUGUGUUUAAAUGCAGCGAAAAGUUCAUAAAUGUAAUCGUAGCAAAAGUCUACUUCGGAAAAGAAAACUAUACGUUGUGUGAAGACGAGAAAGGUCGGAAAAGUCAAUCAGAUACUUGUCUAAAACAUCCUAAUGCAACAUGCAGGCUUGAUAACCACUUACAGGCACAUAAUGUGUACAACAACUAUUCGUUUGAAGUGAAAAUAGGCGACGAGUGUACAGAAUUUCAUCUUAACAUUGUACCAUAUAUACUAACGGGAGUAGGAGUUACUGUCCUGGUUUUAACUGCAGUGAUUAUCUUUUUUAAUAGAAAAGCCUGUGUCCAAUGCGUCAAAGGAAUAGCACAGAAGUGUAGAAAGAACAGAGAAAAACGUUAUUUACCACCAGCCAUUUUAAGACAACAGACAACAAUACAUCCCAUAGGACCCAUUAGUCACCAUCGGUCAUAGUUCAUUCUGUGAAACUGUUCAUAUUUUGUUAAAACUGAAUCAAUAAAGUAUAUACAUAUGAAAAGAAAAGACCAUUCCAACAGUAGCAGCUUUCACCAAAUACCAAAGUGCAGAACAUAGAACACUAAUGUUUUAAGGUUACCAAGAAACCUUCUUUAUGACUCGAUCAUCAAAUAUGACCAUAUGUGGACUCUCUCAAAUCAACUAUUACUAGUAUCCAAAAUGUAAUCUUUUCAUAAAAGUGACAAAACAAUCAAAAUCAUAUCAUGUUAAUAUUCGUCAUCAUCAUGUAUGUACAUCUGAUUAGCUCACAUACCUCAUAGUAUGCUAGAAGAUUGAUAUAUUGAAGUGCAAGAUCUAGUUAUUUACUUAUAAUUUCUUUUGAUCUACACUACAUAAAUUAUUUUGUAAAUUGUGUGUCAAAGAGGAAUGUUUAAAGAUUUACAAUAAGAUAAUUUUUUGCGUGAACCCCUCACUUUGUGAGUUUUCGAAGUGUCUAUGGGCCAUUCGAUAUCCUCGGAAUCUAGAUUCUCGGAACGUCUCAAAAUUUUUCGAUUAUUUAUAUAUACAGGUAGUUAUCUAUGUCUUUGAUACGGUCCCUCUAUGAUAUAUAUAGGCUACCACGUGACAUUGUAUAAUUCAACAAUUAAAGUUCAUGUUUAGAUUGGAAAGUAAAACAAUAAAGACUAGGUUGCAGUCAAAAAAUCAUUUAUAUGUUAGAACCUAUUUGCCUUUUGACAAAACAUAUGUGUUUUAAUAAUGUGAAUGUUUAUUAAAUAUCAAGUAUAAUGAAAACGCAAUUAUAUAAUUCAUUCUUUGAGACGGUCCCUGUACGCGUUGUGUGUGUAGUAUUUUUAACACAACGUGAUGUUGUGCAUUGUGACAAUAAACCUUGGAAUAGUUUAUUGAUAUAUAAUGUCCCAGAAUAAACUGAUUAUUUCUGAACUUUUAUCAUUUGAUAUUUUGUAUUUCAAUCAUAGCAUGGAAAAAUGUCGGAAAGCAUGAAGAAAAUUAAGAAAACGAUAUUUCUGUUAAAAAUAUUUAUAAAACACAGUGGUCGGAAAGCAGAAAGAUAAUCAAACAAAAGGAUUGUUCUGUCAAAAAUAUCUAAUUUCAUUAAUAGAUACUACCAGAUCAAAGAAUAUUCAUUAUUAAGUUUAAACUGAGACAGAAUUUAUUCUUAAUAUAUUAAUAUAAUUAAAAUUGUCAUAUAAACGUGCAUUAUGUCUCACAGUUUUGAACAGUCAUUACAUUAUGAAAAUAAUAUCCAACGUAUGAGCACCAAUGAGCAGGGAUGCGUACCCAAAGUUAGCUAAAUAUCUAAAUUUUAAACGGUCGUGAAUGAAAAAAAUGCUUGCAUGGUUUGAAUUCACAAGGAUGUUAAAUUAUUGCAUCUCACAAAAAACGUAAUUAAUGUUUUACAAUAAUCAUAACAAAAUUUAAUUACUAUCAUAAUGUUAAUUAUUCUAUACUGUUUUAGUAUGGAUUAAUAAGUCUCUGCUUAUAUUUUGUUUAGCAAUAUAUUCAUAUAGUGGAAUGUUAGACUUUAGAAAGAGAUUAAUUUGAUAAAUAAAAUGUCCAUCCGUAAAUACUUGACGUUUGUGUUUAUUGAUAUUAUAUUCUAA